UUAAUUGUUGGUUGCUUAACGUCCAGUGGCAAAUAUUUCAUGCAUAUUCAGGACGAAAUUUUUGACUUAGAUUUUCACUUUUCCCAUUCUACAGAAUAGUAAUUAUAAGAGAAAAAUUGACAUAGAUUUCCACUUAUUCCAUUUAGUCAAUGUCAGUUUUAAUUGUAGCUAGAAAUGUUUCUUUGAUUCAAUUAUUUCACUUUACAAAUUGAC
This 213-nucleotide long non-coding RNA is filed under the name Mytilus galloprovincialis (Mediterranean mussel). The record is from RNAcentral. Lineage: Eukaryota; Metazoa; Mollusca; Bivalvia; Mytilida; Mytilidae.